AUUGAACGCUGGCGGCAGGCCUAACACAUGCAAGUCGAGCGGAGCGGCGGACGGGUGAGUAAUGCCUAGGAAUCUGCCUGGUAGUGGGGGAUAACGUCCGGAAACGGGCGCUAAUACCGCAUACUAUCAGAUGAGCCUAGGUCGGAUUAGCUAGUUGGUGGGGUAAAGGCCUACCAAGGCGACGAUCCGUAACUGGUCUGAGAGGAUGAUCAGUCACACGGAACCGGAGAACGGGUCAAGACUCCAACGGAGGGCAGCAGUGGGGAAUAUUGGAAAAGGGGCGAAAGCUGGUCCAGCCCUGGCGGGGGGUGUGAAGAAGGUUUUCGGAUGGUAAAGCACUUUAGUUGGGGAGCGUUACCAACAGAAUAAGCACCGGCUAACUUCGUGCCAGCAGCCGCGGUAAUAC
RNAcentral lists this ribosomal RNA (406 nucleotides) under uncultured bacterium. RNAcentral's name for it is "partial 16S ribosomal RNA". It matches the Rfam family "Bacterial small subunit ribosomal RNA", at positions 29 to 526 of the family's 1533-position model. The record is from RNAcentral.